AUUUUAAUUAAUUUUGCUCACUAGUGGUUCGUUUGACGUUUUUCUCAAUAGGCAGUGAGUGCCAGAAAGAUCGUUUAAAGGUAGAAGCCAGCCACCAUCUCUACAUGUGCGCAAGGAAGUGGCGCAGUAGACCGACGAGUAAUGACUGAACUGGUUUUACUCUCAUUGAUAUGGGAAAUUACUGAGAGGAACGUGGGCGCCUGUGGUCGGCACUAGAGCUGUCGCCAUUUUGAUGGUGCGCACCAGACUGCGCAAUGGCACAGAGGUGCUUUUUUUUUUUGUUAGUUUUCAGUAUCAAAUGGAUUGAAAUACAGAAAAAUACUACUCAAUUCAAUAAUGAAAUCGUUGCCAGCCAUCAUUAUUGAGAAAUACGUAGGACAAACGCCGGCGUUACCUCAAACAACAACGGUGAUCUGUGGCCAUCUUGACUCGGCGCCGGCUAGUUGCGCAGUGGGAAUUUGAACUAGGAACCGUUUAACAUUUUGUUUGUGAAUUAAUAACGGUUAAUGAUCAAUAAUCAAUGUCAUCAAGUCUUCUGACAUUAAAAUUAUUUAGUAUUAAUAAUUACUAGUGGCCAUAAAUCGACGUCAUUAAGAGUUGAUAAUUAAUGUAAUGAAAAACAUGUAAUAAUGAAUUCAAUUAACUUUUUGUAGUUGAAAUUGUGUGCUACUAAUUAUCCCUAAUUGCCAUAAAUGCUCACCAUCAAUCAUGGGUAAUAAUUAAUUAGAAUAAUGAUUAAUAACUAAUAAUCGACGACAAAAACAAAAUGUGGAUUUCAUGAAAUUUUCAAUAUUUCUUGUUUGAACAAUGCGAUUUGAACGAAUCAAAGCUCAUUUUAAAGCUAAGAAACAACCCU
Long non-coding RNA from Diachasmimorpha longicaudata, 856 nucleotides. RefSeq lists it as uncharacterized. The transcript is spliced from 3 exons. Lineage: Eukaryota; Metazoa; Arthropoda; Insecta; Hymenoptera; Braconidae. The record is from RefSeq and is a predicted model, not a curated record.